GGCAAUGUUGCCAGAUUCCUUUUAGCGGGAAUUUUAAAAUUUUAUAGCAGUUUGGUUUUAAAUUUGACAGUUCUGUUUUCUCAAGUCAAAAAUCUUAACCUUACUUUUACAAGUGAUUAAGAUUAUUAUUAUUUUAUUUACACGUAAAUUGAAACAAUAAAUAUUGUGCUUUGUCAUAAUUUAAAACUCAUUAUGUUGAAGUCUUUUCCAGUUGAUAAAAUUGCAAUUCAAAAACUUUUAGAUUUGCACUGUAUGGAUGGCACAGGAAGAGAACAGAGAACAAGAGUACAAGAACAUGAAACAUCUUAUUAUGAAUGUAUAUGUAUGUGAUCCUCAAAAAAUUAUUUUUCAAAACAAGAUAGAGAAAGAGCUUUAAAAUCCCAAGGAUCCUGCAAAAUGUUUAUUUGGUGUACUAGUCGAAUAAUAGUAUCUAAAAAUAUUGAAACUGUUUUAAAACACAUUAUAGGCAUGAGGAUGAUAUAGAGCACUUACAUAAAUACCAAAAUCAAAUAAAUAUCUCUUCAAAGUUUAUUUUGAGACUUUCUUCAAAAAUAACUUCAGACUGUUCAGGAUAGCAUAAUAGCAUAGGAGGCGAAUUAAAAAGAAUUAAUUUACUUACAAGAAAAGAUAUCACAAACAUUAAACUCUCUUAUGGCAUUGAUUUGAAAGAUGGGUAUAUGUACAAGGAUGAUGCAACCAGUGUUUAUUUUUGGGUUGAAUGCUUACAGACUCAUGUCCAAUAUUAUUUUACAAACAACAGGGCAUACUAAUGGAUAUUCAUUCUGAAUUUAACAUUUAUGAUUUUUGUCUUAUUUUCCUUAAUACUGUGCCAAAAGGAAAUGUUAAUUAAGUUUGGCAAAUCCUUUAUCGCAAUCGAUGGAACUCAUGGGCUCAAUUCCUAUGACUUUGAACUUAUGACAGUAUUAGUAAAAGAUGAAUUUGGGAAUGGAUUUUGUACUGCUUUCUUAUUUUCAAAUAGAAAAGAUACCUACUUUAAUUUACCAAUUUUUUUAAAUACAUGUCUGUGUUGGUAUUAUAUGUAUAGUCAAAUGUUUUCAUAUCAGGCAUAAGUGACACCUUUUACAAUGCCUCGUCAAAUGUAAUGGGUAUGGCUCCUAAUAGACUGUUAAGUGCCUGGCACAUAGAUAGGGCAUGGUAAGUAAAUCUUAAUAAAAUAUCUGAUUCUGAAAAAAAUCCUAUUAUAUAUACAAGAUGUAUUAAUGAUGGUUCAGAGAGUAUUAAUAGCUUUUUGGGUAGACUUCUAAGUGAUGCAGAUACAUACAAUUUUAAUAAGUAUUUCCAGUAGAACUACUGCAAUAACAUCCAACAAUGGGCCUAUUGUUAUAGGAAGGGGUUGUGGAAUUAAUACCAAUAUGACCAUUCAAAAUUUUCAUAAAAUUUUGGAUAAAAGGGUAUCCAUUAGUUGUUAUCAGUUAAGUUUAAAACUUGGCACUCAUGGAGAGCUAUACUCUAUACCAUAAUAUAUAAUAGGUAUAUCUCAUAAUAUUACAUCUCAUAUUGCUCACUCAUUACAAUAGUGAGCAAUAGAAGAUAUAACAUAUUAUAGUAUAAGUCUCUGUGCAUGACCAGAUUAACAUGUUUGGCGCCCAUCUCGAACAAGCUCCACUUGGCUGGUACCACAUACUUAAAUCAUUUAUUUAGUUACACAGUACUACUCACAUAACUUAUGUGUCGCCAUAAAACCUUCGUGAUGCUACUCAUACUUCAUGGCCACUGAAUGUGUUAAAGCUUGUUAAUGUAGGAGAGUUAUACUAAAAUAUAUAUCUUAUAUUAUAUUGCCUUAAAUAGAAAAAAUAUCUUAUUUAAAUUGUAUCCAUGUAAGUUUUGAUUUAAUGAAAUAAACCUUUUAAUCAAAAA
This 1878-nucleotide long non-coding RNA is filed under the name Diabrotica virgifera virgifera (western corn rootworm). RNAcentral's name for it is "uncharacterized LOC126878883". The record is from RNAcentral. Lineage: Eukaryota; Metazoa; Arthropoda; Insecta; Coleoptera; Chrysomelidae.